Coregonus clupeaformis (lake whitefish) is the source of this 235-nucleotide long non-coding RNA. RefSeq lists it as uncharacterized. The transcript has 3 exons. NCBI's taxonomy places the organism in Eukaryota, Metazoa, Chordata, Actinopteri, Salmoniformes, Salmonidae. The record is from RefSeq and is a predicted model, not a curated record.
GAAAUACAUAAGCCUGCUGCCAUUUUGAUGAAGAAGAGCAUUGUUCAGGCAAACCAUUGGAUGAAGUCUCUCCAUCGUUAACCUCCAAAAGACUCCAGACACUCUGUUAAGGACACCAAUCACAAGCCACUGUCAAACGAAUAUGCAAAAACAACUGGAGUUGGUUACAAGUGGUCAGAGGAGCAGAAGAAGUGGCCAAAUGAAAUUGAAGGUUCCUCUCCGAAUGCAAGCCCCC